GCCUUCCCCUCCUCGCAGCUGGUCAUUGCUGUGGGUGUAAUUUAAGGCAGAACUUGGCCUUUCUUACAUAUUUCAUUUACUCCCUUGAUUUUAAUUGACCCUGUUACGGGCAUUUCAAGCAUUUCACGAGCCUGUGGUGCCUGGUUUCCCAGGUCAGAGAGAGGUUUUCUCAGACCCUCUGUCCCAACAGGGCUGUUGGCAGCAUGAGCAGAUACCCCUCCCCUGGAACAACCCUGUUCUGUGGGAUUGGGAUCCAGCUUGAAGGUCACCAAGCCCUCAGACCAACAGAGGUCAUCAAGACUCUUCAUCCAGCAUGCAAAAGAAGGAUUUCCCCCUCCUUCAGGCCUCCUUAUCACUUGCUCAGAGGCUCAGGCUUUGGAUCAAACCCCACCUCUGAAAAAUAGUGACCGCUAACUUGAGCAUCCCAGAGUGAUGGAAGAUGGAAGAGCACAGAGAGAUUAGUUAUUCUUAGCCAAAGAGGAGCUUGGGAAGAGUUGCUGUAAGUAAUCAGAUGUGGUCAUUAAUUGCUUCCUGCUCUGACAUGUUCAUCUUAGUGUGGGCUCCACCAAG
RNAcentral lists this long non-coding RNA (570 nucleotides) under Cyanistes caeruleus (blue tit). RNAcentral's name for it is "lncRNA (ENSCCEG00000022446.1)". Lineage: Eukaryota; Metazoa; Chordata; Aves; Passeriformes; Paridae. The record is from RNAcentral.